Molecule: ribosomal RNA, 235 nt
Filed under: uncultured bacterium
Lineage: Bacteria
Description: partial 16S ribosomal RNA
Rfam family: Bacterial small subunit ribosomal RNA
Source: RNAcentral
AACGAACGCUGGCGGCAGGCCUAACACAUGCAAGUCGAACGCCGUAGCAAUACGGAGUGGCAGACGGGUGAGUAACACGUGGGAACAUACCCUUCGGUUCGGAAUAACUCAGGGAAACGUUGAGCUAAUACCGGAUACGUCCGCGAGGAGAAGAUUCAUCGCCGGAGGAUUGGCCCGCGUCUGAUUAGCUUGUUGGUGAGGUAACGGCUCACCAAGGCGACGAUCAGUAGCGGUC